Schistocerca gregaria is the source of this 1200-nucleotide long non-coding RNA. RefSeq lists it as uncharacterized. Lineage: Eukaryota; Metazoa; Arthropoda; Insecta; Orthoptera; Acrididae. The transcript is spliced from 3 exons. The record is from RefSeq and is a predicted model, not a curated record.
UCUGCAUUUUCAGCAUGACUGUGAACAAGCUCCUCCUCUUGAUGUUCAUCACUGAUCAGUUGUGUUCAGGAUCUCAAAUGAUGAUACAUAUUGUACUCCAUAGCAUUUAUUCUUCACAAACCUCAAAACUUAACUGCUGAUGGCACGGCAUGUAGCACAGGUCAGUGGCCUUGUCCCAUUAAGCCCACUCCCAACCAUGUUGAGCUCAAGAAAGAAUGUGUCAUAUUAGGGUAGUUGGACUUGACGUGCUGUACACUACACCAGGUUAACAUUCACCCACUAUACACUAAUCUACUGAUCAGCAAGAGAUGCCAAGAGGACUUGACAUAAUGUUCCCAGACAAGAAGUGAAAUGCCUGGGAAGUAUUUGUGGAAUUAACUUCCUUUCACCACUUUUGGACCUGACACACUAUCCACUGCUAGCACAUAUAUUUGGUUUAGUGAAGAACUGAUACAAAGAGCAAAGAAGCAUAUCUAGGAGGCACUUCUUGAUGUUUAAACGAAGACAUGUUAUCUAUUGUAAAUGUAAACACCAUUCAUGGACAGAGCUUUAGACCUGCUCUGAUUGCUGCCUACAAGACAGUACAAGGAGCAGUCUAUGACGGUGGGACGUGUGAUCAGCAUGUCACCAAUACCUCCAGCCAGUAGAUGAAUCCUGAUGCUGCUUCUUUAAUCAAGUUUCAGACCAACAAUUUGCUGCCUUGCUGAUGACGGUACAACAACUUCUGGCUGCAGAAGCAGUGUCGCGGGCACAAUAAUAGAAGCCCACUGACUGACACACCCAACAAGUGCAGCAAACCAGCAUACCACCAUUCCAGCAAUUUUAUGACACAGAAGAGGAAUGGCAUGAAUACCUGAUACAGUUCCAAGCUCAUUGUGCAGUUCAUCACAUUCAAGAAAUUAUCCCCUGCAUUACUAACAUUUAUAGGAAGUCAGAACCACCUCUUAUUCACGGUGAUGUAAUGGAUUUUGUGGGUACUGGCUUCCGUCAACUAAUCCUGCAACAUGUGAUAUGAAGGCAUUGGUCAACCUCCUUCUCCAGAAUUUCUUUGAAAGCGGUCUGAAGCAGCUGAGGUACCUCAGUGUGAGGCAAGAUGGUGGCUAGUGUAAAAAUCUGAUGUGUGGCUCUGCGAAAAAAUGUCAAUUAUGCUGUUAAAAAGAAAAACUGUAACAGUUAUAAGGAUGAAAUAAUAAAGCUCAA